RNAcentral lists this transfer RNA (66 nucleotides) under Thaumatotibia leucotreta. RNAcentral's name for it is "tRNA-Val". Lineage: Eukaryota; Metazoa; Arthropoda; Insecta; Lepidoptera; Tortricidae. The record is from RNAcentral.
CAAAUUAGAGCUUGAAAUUAAGCAUUUCAUUUACAUUGAAAAGAUAAUAUUAUUUAUUUAAUUUGA